UGGAAUCGCUACUAAGACAUUUGUUUGCAUCAGCCUUGUUUUGGUACCUUAAAAAAUUAUAGUCAUUCGUCGUUUAAUAAAAUGUGGUAUGUAAAUUUUCCAAAAACCACUCGUGUUUGCACACGGGUAUCACUACUAGUCUAUUAUCUAUUAUAUAUAAUAAACAAAAAAAAUUGGGACACUUGGCACAAUAUUAGGGCUUCCUAGAUGUGGUUUUGGCGGGAAACUGAAUGGGUAUUCUUUUCACAUAUAAUGAAGCCCUAUUUUCUAUCCGGAUCCGCUAAUUCGGAUCCGUAUAUAUAUGUUAUAAAAAAAAUUAAUAUUUCCAAUCUUCAUUUGCUGUCCGCCUCCAACCAUCCAAUUUCAAACCCUAAUUUCUCAUCGAGAACAACAAUCAAUCCCAAAAAUGUUGCGACACGCUGCUAAGAGAAUCACAAGGUCAGGAUUAGCCCCGACACGGUGGUCUGCACCGGCGGCGGACCUGUUUUAUCAUGAGAGGGUUGUGGACCACUACAAUAAUCCCCGUAAUGUUGGUGCGUUUGACAAGAACUAGGGUUAGAAUUAACGUCGCCGCCACUGUCUCUACCACAUCCGCUGAAGCAGAACCCUAGAGUUUGGUAGCAAAUGAAGAGUUUUCUCCAAAGGCUUGAGGAUGUACUAAUUAAUAAUCAUACGUUCGGAAGAGUUGAUGUGCAGGUUUUUUUUUCUUUUUCACUUUGCCUUUAUUCCAUCCAUUGAUUUCAUUGUAAUUUCAGUUCAAAGAUGAAAAGAAACUGUAGCGAAACAGAGUGAUGGUUCCUCAAGCCCUUUAGAUUUUUGAAUCAGGUUGGCUGCAGGAGCAGGCCUCCAUUGUUUCAAAAAGAGAAUGGAGCUCAAUGGGAAGUCGCCCUCUUUGUGCUGGUGGUGGAAUGUGGACUAUGACUUUUCCUAAGUCAAAAUCAGACAAAUAUUGGGCUUACAUGUUUGAUCAUGGAGAUGAGAUAUGCGAGGCAGUCGUUAUGUGAGGCCAAGAUUGCUGCAAAUAAUUAAAAGAAGUCAAUAAAGGAUGAAAGUUUCCAUUACGCUAUGAAGACCUUGACUACCAAUGCCAACUACAUAGUAGACAGCAAGAAUAAACAUGAGGCAUUGAUUUUGAUUGUUGAUCUUUCUUGGAUUUUGUGUAAUACUUAAACAUGGAGGUUCAAUUAGAGUAAACUAUGGUCAAACUGCUGGUGAGUCAUCUUGCACCCAGACCGGUCAAUGAGAAAUCGUAACUACCAGUAUUAAUGUUCACUAAUGUUCACAACUGGUAGUUAUUUGUUUGGUUUAAGUAUUUCAACAUUUUUGUCAUAAAAUUUAAUGAAAUAAUAUCUUACAUUUUAAUAAAAAUACAAGUUUUUUAACUGAUAAAAUUAAACUAUCCGGGAAGCAGUCCCGGGUGAUAACCUAGUUAAUUAUAAACCAACAAACGUUGAUGGAAGAAACUGCUAUUUUGGUCCCUGAGGUUUGGUCACUUUUGCCACUUUAGUCCAAAACUCAAA
Molecule: RNA transcript, 1520 nt
Organism: Helianthus annuus (common sunflower)
Lineage: Eukaryota; Viridiplantae; Streptophyta; Magnoliopsida; Asterales; Asteraceae
Exons: 7
Source: RefSeq, a predicted model, not a curated record